Manis pentadactyla (Chinese pangolin) is the source of this 2003-nucleotide long non-coding RNA. RefSeq lists it as uncharacterized. The record is from RefSeq and is a predicted model, not a curated record. The transcript has 3 exons. NCBI's taxonomy places the organism in Eukaryota, Metazoa, Chordata, Mammalia, Pholidota, Manidae.
CAGCCCCCUUUGCAUUCAACCAUUGUGAUAUUUUUAGAAACACACUUAACAUGGUCUUUUAGGCCAGUGAAAAUUGUAUACAUCAGACAAAGUACCCCCAGUACAGGAUGGGCAUGGGGAGCAGUUGUCCCACUGAACUGCACUUUGGUUCUGGUGGGGGGGACGGGGGUUCCAUGGGGAAAUAAGAGGCCUCUGUGGUGGUCCCUGCCAGACUGGGAAAACCCAAAAUUAGGGCUGUACCUCCUGUGCCCGUCCUUCCAUUUUGCCUCUGCCUUCUCUUGCCCCACUUACCUCCUUUCCACACUCCUUCAGAGAGCAAGAAUGAGCUCUCCGUUGUUCUGUAUUGGCACCACAACCAGAAUUGUAAGGGCACCAGAAGCCGGGGGAAUGCCACCCUCCAGGACACUGCCAGCAGAGGGCACUGUUCUCGUUGUGAUGAAAACUACCCCCGUUUUCCUGCCGCCACCCCAGCUCCCAGGCCCUGUGGGCUAGCCUCAGGGACUUGGGCUUGCCCAGGUGAGCAGCGCCUCUGUUGGGCCUGAAGGCUGGGGCCGAGCCUUUUUGCCCUGUCGGAAAGAAACUCGGCCAGCCAGGUUUCUUGCUGUCUCGCUUUCCUUUGCCGCUAGGCUUUCACUGGGAAGCUGUUGGUUAGUAACUGGGGAAGACGGCGGUGUUGAUGUACCAAACCAGUAUGAAAAAGAGCGUUACUUAGUUCUCCAGGAUGGAAAAGAGGGUUUUGCGGUCCCCGCUGGGGUCUCUGCCCCCACCUCCUUCGGCCUUGGGCGCCCUGCCCGCCGCGGCGCCUCCGGGCUUUAGCAAACGCUGGCUUCGCUGGGGCUCGUUGCUGGGCAACAGGCAGCCCGGCUGCUGCCUCCGCCUUUCGCCUCAGCCCGCCCCCGCUGCUCUCCCUAAUAUGGAUUUAAUUAGUGUGCUUUUCCCCUUCAGACUGUGCAUGGCAAACUGCAUAGGGAAGCAGUGUUGCGCGGUGACCCAAACCCGCGUGUCAUGUCUUCAGGAGCCUGCUCUGCACACCACAUCCCUCCGCGGGCGGCUGGCGUGAACCUCAGGGAUCCUCGCAGGAACAGACCGCGGUGCCAUUCCCUCACAUGUCAGUCAGAAGCUUUAGAGGGAAUUUAGGUCAAAUGUGGCUGAGGACCGCGGAGAGACGAGGUGAAAGAGGAAUGGGGUAUGGGGUGCUGGGAGGGCAGCAGUUGCUAUAAGGCAAGCCUCUCGGCGACCCCGUCGGUUACUCCCGCAGCCUGGCUACAGUUUAGACCGUCACGAUGGGUGUUGGUUGUCUUUGACAUUUAGAUCAGCACCAACUUGAUAACUCUCAUUCUGCCUCCAGACCCUCCCUCCCAGUCUCUGUCUCAGGCUCUCUGCCUAUCAUUUCUCUCACUACCUCUUCGUUCAUUCUUCCUACCUGCAGAAACUCCUGAGCUCCCUUUGCUUCAAGUCCAGAGGUUUGGCAGUUCUGGAACGGUGAGGCCAGGACAAAGAGGUUCAAGGCAAAAAGCUAUCUGGAGAGCAAUAGCGAGUCUAUUUAUGAAACCAUGUUAAAAGGUCAAAUAAUUUCUUCCAGGUCAGUAUCCAAAUCAGGAAAGCUGGGUUUGAAAGACCUGCAAAGUGCUAUUUAACCAUUUCCUUAAUUGUAAGGUGGAAUACCUGCUUGGGUCAGGGUGGACAAAAUCAGCAACCCAGAGGCCAGACUUCCACUGUGUUAUGGAAUAUGCCUUCAGAUGGGCUUGGAGAAGAAGACAGCACCAAAUGUUUGGAAAUGUGAAAUCCACCAAUUGCAUCUGGCUUUAAAGAUGGCAGAUAAAUACGGUAACAGCACGUGAAACACCAUCACAGAGAGGAACAAAGUGAAAACCUGAGUCAGAAAGAAACAGAGGGGUGUCAGUUCAUCUCAAUGACAAGCUACAGUUGGCCUGGGAGAGAAGGGAGAUGAAAACGACUUCAGGGUUAGGUUGGUCUUCAUGCCAGGGGAAGGGGCAGAAAGG